GCAAGUCGUGCGAGAAAGUUCUUCGGAUAUGAGUAGAGCGGCGGACGGGUGAGUAACGCGUAGGAAUCUACCUAGUAGAAGGGGAUAGCCCGGGGAAACCCGGAUUAAUACCGUAUACCUCCUUCGGGAGAAAGAAGGCCUCUCUUUGAAGCGUUCGCUAUUAGAUGAGCCUGCGUAAGAUUAGCUUGUUGGUGAGGUAAAGGCUCACCAAGGCAACGAUCUUUAGCUGGUCUGAGAGGACGAUCAGCCACAUUGGGACUGAGACACGGCCCAGACUCCUACGGGAGGCAGCAGUGGGGAAUAUUGGACAAUGGGCGCAAGCCUGAUCCAGCCAUACCGCGUGUGUGAAGAAGGCCUUCGGGUUGUAAAGCACUUUAAGCAGGGAGAAAAAGUUAUAAGUUAAUACCUUAUGAUCUUGAUGUUACCUGCAGAAUAAGCACCGGCUAAUUCCGUGCCAGCAGCCGCGGUAAUACGGAAGGUGCAAGCGUUAAUCGGAAUUACUGGGCGUAAAGCGCGCGUAGGUGGUUUGUUAAGUUGGAUGUGAAAGCCCUGGGCUCAACCUAGGAACUGCAUCCAAAACUAACUCACUUGAGUACGAUAGAGGGAGGUAGAAUUCAUAGUGUAGCGGUGGAAUGCGUAGAUAUUAUGAAGAAUACCGGUGGCGAAGGCGGCCUCCUGGAUCUGUACUGACACUGAGGUGCGAAAGCGUGGGUAGCGAACAGGAUUAGAUACCCUGGUAGUCCACGCCGUAAACGAUGACAACUAGCUGUUGGGAGACAAUGUCUUUCAGUGGCGCAGCUAACGCUUUAAGUUGUCCGCCUGGGGAGUACGGCCGCAAGGCUAAAACUCAAAUGAAUUGACGGGGACCCGCACAAGCGGUGGAGCAUGUGGUUUUAUUCGAUGCAACGCGAAAAACCUUACCUACUCUU
RNAcentral lists this ribosomal RNA (929 nucleotides) under uncultured Gammaproteobacteria bacterium. Its description in RNAcentral is "bacterial SSU rRNA". It matches the Rfam family "Bacterial small subunit ribosomal RNA", at positions 57 to 982 of the family's 1533-position model. The record is from RNAcentral. Lineage: Bacteria; Pseudomonadati; Pseudomonadota; Gammaproteobacteria.